GGUUGUGCACCUGUGUUACAGGUCAUCAGGCCUCCACCACUUCGGAUCGACAAACUGCUUAGAAGUAAAGAAAAGACUAUUAUGGUUACAGUAUAUGCAGACAUGGCACACCAGACUGUUACUUUAGGCUUAUGUAAAAGCUAUUGAUGCAUUAAUCUUGGGUUGCGGACAUCCCAGUAACGGAAAUUCUGCUUCUUUACAUAUCCUCCGAUAUGAAAGUGGGCUUCGUUACUAAAGAAUAUGUUGCUCAUCCGAGUAGCAGCAGGAAAUCUCAACAACAUUACCUCUGCUGUCGAUGAACGUGCACGCAGUGAUAAUCGGGGAUUUUCAACGACAGAAACCAUAAACCGUGGCUACUGAUGGUGUUUUUUUUUUGUUCCUAAUAAGCCUACCUUCCCCGGCUACUAUAUCACCGGGGCGACGACUAAGCUAAUCGUCCUUUCUUUUCAUUCAUACAUCAUCUAAAUAAAAAUACACGUUUUUUUAUUUACAAUAACGUUUGUGUUUACAAAUUUGCCUUUAGGGGGCUGGGAGUUGAUGCUAUUUGAUAAAUUCUUUCUCCCAGCCUCCUAUUUACAAUGGUCUGUUUCUUAAAAUUAAAUAUACUAGACGUGUUUUACAGGAUUACAAUAUAAUAUUGUUUCUUAGCUUACUUAUGUUUCAAUAUUUACAUUAAAUGUUCAUUAAUCAACAGACGGUGUGUCCGGUCUUUUAUUCUUAUACUAAACUAAACUUAUAUAAGUAAAAAUAAAAUUCCCGUAAUGGAUUUAAUUACAGAUCCUAAUCUAUUAAUUAACCCUCGCUUAACACGAUUAUUACUCUGUAUAUUUAAAUGUUGACAAAUUUCCUUAACAUGUUAUAAGAUAAUAUCAAUCCUCUGAUAUAUAUGUUUUGCUUCAUCAGAUUUAAAUCUAGUGAGAGCAUUUUUCAUAGAACUUUCAAUAUUAUCUAAGUUAUAUCUUAUAGGUUUUAUAUCUAAUUUAUGAAUAAUUGCCCACCGUCCUUCUAGUAAUCGAGUUGGUUUGGAUUCUAUUAGAAUUACAUUUUCCGAAGGGGUUAGCUUUCUAAACUUGAAUGCUGUGAUGAAGAAGAUGAGUCUGGAACAAUAUUUAGUUCUUCAACAUGAUAUGAUCGACCAUUACUCAAUUUAUAUUUAUUAUGUGGUUCUAUAUUAGCUAUGGUAAACGGACCUAAGAAUCUAGGUUUAGUUUUGUGUCGAUCUGCCAUGCUAUUUUUUAAAUAAGCUACAUCACCUAUUUUAUAUACUUUAGGGUUUUUUACCUUUUUGUUAAUUCUUUCAUUUCUAACCUUUUUUCCUUGUUUUAAUACUUCGUGUACAUUUUUAUUUAAGUUCUUUGAAAAUUCUCGCUGUUGAGCCGUAUAGUUUUGUAUAACUACCUUGAGAUUGUCAAAGCUAAGUAGUUUUGCCUUUCUUCCAAAAUGGACUUCAAACGGUGUCAUAUUUAUAGAACUAUGCACUGUGUUAUUGUAUGAAUGUGUGAUUAAGUUAAUUUUUUGAUUCUUUUCUAAAUACGACUCUCUGUAAGCGAUAUAAUUCUUGUAUAGUGUUAUGUAAUCUCUCUACUAUAAUCCGAGUUAGAGACUAUUUCAAUUUUCCGGUUUGGUGGC
This is a long non-coding RNA of Pieris rapae (cabbage white), 1629 nucleotides long. RefSeq lists it as uncharacterized. Lineage: Eukaryota; Metazoa; Arthropoda; Insecta; Lepidoptera; Pieridae. The transcript is spliced from 3 exons. The record is from RefSeq and is a predicted model, not a curated record.